RNAcentral lists this ribosomal RNA (553 nucleotides) under uncultured bacterium. RNAcentral describes it as "partial 16S ribosomal RNA". It matches the Rfam family "Bacterial small subunit ribosomal RNA", at positions 355 to 898 of the family's 1533-position model. The record is from RNAcentral.
UAGGGAAUCUUCCACAAUGGACGCAAGUCUGAUGGAGCAACGCCGCGUGAGUGAAGAAGGUUUUCGGACCGUAAAGCUCUGUUGUUGGUGAAGAAGGAUAGAGGUAGUAACUGGCCUUUAUUUGACGGUAAUCAACCAGAAAGUCACGGCUAACUACGUGCCAGCAGCCGCGGUAAUACGUAGGUGGCAAGCGUUGCCCGGAUUUAUUGGGCGUAAAGCGAGCGCAGGCGGAAGAAUAAGUCUGAUGUGAAAGCCCUCGGCUUAACCGAGGAAUUGCAUCGGAAACUGUUUUUCUUGAGUGCAGAAGAGGAGAGUAGAACUCCAUGUGUAGCGGUGGAAUGCGUAGAUAUAUGGAAGAAUACCAGUGGCGAAGGCGGCUCUCUGGUCUGCAACUGACGCUGAGGCUCGAAAGCAUGGGUAGCGAACAGGAUUAGAUACCCUGGUAGUCCAUGCCGUAAACGAUGAGUGCUAAGUGUUGGGAGGCUUCCGCCUCUCAGUGCUGCAGCUAACGCAUUAAGCACUCCGCCUGGGGGAGUACGACCGCAAGGUUGAA